UACAGAGGUCCCAAGCGUUGUUCGGAUUCACUGGGCGUAAAGGGUGCGCAGGUGGUCGGGUAAGUCUGAUGUGAAAUCCCGCAGCUUAACUGCGGAAUGGCAUUGGAUACUAUUUGGCUAGAGGGUUGGAGGGGGGACUGGAAUUCUCGGUGUAGCAGUGAAAUGCGUAGAUAUCGAGAGGAACACCAGUGGCGAAGGCGAGUCCCUGGACAACUCCUGACGCUGAGGCACGAAAGCCAGGGGAGCAAACGGG
Molecule: ribosomal RNA, 253 nt
Filed under: uncultured bacterium
Lineage: Bacteria
Description: partial 16S ribosomal RNA
Rfam family: Bacterial small subunit ribosomal RNA
Source: RNAcentral